RNAcentral lists this ribosomal RNA (631 nucleotides) under uncultured Methanomicrobiales archaeon. Its description in RNAcentral is "bacterial SSU rRNA". It matches the Rfam family "Archaeal small subunit ribosomal RNA", at positions 401 to 1031 of the family's 1478-position model. The record is from RNAcentral. Lineage: Archaea; Methanobacteriati; Methanobacteriota; Methanomicrobia; Methanomicrobiales.
UUCGGGCUGUCCAUCAGUGUAAAAAACUGGUGAAGAAAGGGCCGGGCAAGACCGGUGCCAGCCGCCGCGGUAAUACCGGCGGCUCGAGUGGUGGCCACUAUUACUGGGCUUAAAGCGUCCGUAGCUUGGUUGUUAAGUCUCCUGGGAAAUCCAUCGGCUCAACCGAUGGGCGUUCAGGGGAUACUGGCAACCUAGGGACCGGGAGAGGUGAGAGGUACUCCAGGGGUAGGAGUGAAAUCCUGUAAUCCUUGGGGGACCACCUGUGGCGAAGGCGUCUCACUAGAACGGCUCCGACAGUGAGGGACGAAAGCUGGGGGAGCAAACCGGAUUAGAUACCCGGGUAGUCCCAGCCGUAAACGAUGCGCGUUAGGUGUAUCGGUGACCACGAGUCACCGAGGUGCCGAAGGGAAACCGUGAAACGUGCCGCCUGGGAAGUACGGUCGCAAGGCUGAAACUUAAAGGAAUUGGCGGGGGAGCACCACAACAGGUGGAGCCUGCGGUUUAAUCGGACUCAACGCCGGGAAUCUCACCGGAUAAGACAGCGGGAUGAUAGCCGGGCUGAAGACUCUGCUUGACUAGCUGAGAGGAGGUGCAUGGCCGUCGUCAGUUCGUACUGUGAAGCAUAAUCACU